UAGAGUUUGAUCCUGGCUCAGAUUGAACGCUGGCGGUAUGCUUAACACAUGCAAGUCGAACGGUAGCAGGCUUUCGGGCGCUGACGAGUGGCGGACGGGUGAGUAAUGCAUAGGAAUCUGCCUAGUAGUGGGGGAUAACGUGGGGAAACUCACGCUAAUACCGCAUACGCCCUACGGGGGAAAGCGGGGGAUCGUAAGACCUCGCGCUAUUAGAUGAGCCUAUGUCAGAUUAGCUUGUUGGUGGGGUAAUGGCCUACCAAGGCGACGAUCUGUAGCUGGUCUGAGAGGAUGAUCAGCCACACUGGAACUGAGACACGGUCCAGACUCCUACGGGAGGCAGCAGUGGGGAAUAUUGGACAAUGGGCGCAAGCCUGAUCCAGCAAUACCGCGUGUGUGAAGAAGGCCUUAGGGUUGUAAAGCACUUUCAAUUGGGAGGAAUACCUGCCGGUCAAUACCCGGUAGAUUGACAUUACCUUUAGAAGAAGCACCGGCUAACUCCGUGCCAGCAGCCGCGGUAAUACGGAGGGUGCGAGCGUUAAUCGGAAUUACUGGGCGUAAAGAGUGCGUAGGCGGUUCGUUAAGUCCGCUGUGAAAGCCCUGGGCUUAACCUGGGAACGGCAGAGGAUACUGGCGAGCUAGAGUAUGGUAGAGGAGAGUGGAAUUUCAGGUGUAGCGGUGAAAUGCGUAGAUAUCUGAAGGAACACCAGUGGCGAAGGCGACUCCCUGGACUCAAACUGACGCUGAGGUACGAAAGCGUGGGUAGCAAACAGGAUUAGAUACCCUGGUAGUCCACGCUGUAAACGAUGUCAACUAGCCGUUGGUUCUAUAUACAGAAUUAGUGGCGCAGCUAACGCAUUAAGUUGACCGCCUGGGGAGUACGGCCGCAAGGUUAAAACUCAAAGGAAUUGACGGA
Molecule: ribosomal RNA, 913 nt
Filed under: uncultured bacterium
Lineage: Bacteria
Description: bacterial SSU rRNA
Rfam family: Bacterial small subunit ribosomal RNA
Source: RNAcentral